CACUGCCGAGAAAAGCCUCUAGAUAGAAAAUAGGUGCCCGUACCGCAAACCGACACAGGUAGUCAAGAUGAGAAUUCUAAGGUGAGCGAGCGAACUCUCGUUAAGGAACUCGGCAAAAUGACCCCGUAACUUCGGGAGAAGGGGUGCUCUUUAGGGUUAACGCCCAGAAGAGCCGCAGUGAAUAGGCCCAAGCGACUGUUUAUCAAAAACACAGGUCUCUGCUAAACCGUAAGGUGAUGUAUAGGGGCUGACGCCUGCCCGG
This 262-nucleotide ribosomal RNA is filed under the name Staphylococcus aureus. Its description in RNAcentral is "partial 23S ribosomal RNA". It matches the Rfam family "Bacterial large subunit ribosomal RNA", at positions 1603 to 1866 of the family's 2925-position model. The record is from RNAcentral. Lineage: Bacteria; Bacillati; Bacillota; Bacilli; Caryophanales; Staphylococcaceae.